Molecule: long non-coding RNA, 3816 nt
Organism: Sorex fumeus (smoky shrew)
Lineage: Eukaryota; Metazoa; Chordata; Mammalia; Eulipotyphla; Soricidae
Exons: 2
Source: RefSeq, a predicted model, not a curated record
UCUUAUGCCAGGGCAGUUUAUCUCUUUGCAGAUACUGCAAUGAACAAGAUUUACCACUAUAGCUUCCCCCCUCCGCACUGUCAGGGGUCUGAGCUUCAAAUCAGAGGGGAAACUAUGAAGAGCACGACUAGAAGAAAGAGUUGCUGAGAAUAUCAAGCACAAAACCACAGAAGGUGCUGAGCCUGCCCACUGGAGUCCAACCUAGUCACACGCCUUCUCGACUUCUCCUGCUUUGCUUGUUUGGAGUCCCCUGGGGAUUUCAAUGACACAACCAGACACUGCUUUAUGUUUCAGUGGUUCCAAGUUUUCAAGUCGAUUUAAGGUUCAUAGACCUGACGUUGUGUAGUCAGGAAGAUCUGGCUUUGCACAGAGAAAAGAAUCCACACAGAGAUUCCCUGAUGACAGCAAGAGGCAAGUGUUUAUCCCUCUCACAGGUGAGACUGGGGGCCUCGGAAUGGGCUGGGCAGAGUUUAGAUCACAUCAGACUGUGCAGAUAGCACAUGAAACAGAAAAUAGCAUUUUUUAUUUUUGCCACUCGAGAUCUUCACAGCAAUGAGAGUCCCUGGCAGAUUGCUGACAAGAAAGGUCCAAGGCAAAGGUCUCGCCACCCACCCACACAGUACGAAGACAGGGCCCAUGUUGGUGUUCCUCAGCAUUGUGAAUGCAUGCGCAAUGCUUCCGAUCUCAAAGAAACCAUUUGUUCUCCAUCGGAGCAAUCUUGGUAAAUGUCACCAUGGCUUCAUUUACUGCACACAGGUCAACAGCUCCCAAAUAUGAGAAAGUAGAAGUUACCUUUGAGCACCUUUCCAUGUACUUUUGAGAGAGAGGGGGGGGUGGGGAAGUGCCUGCCAUAGAUGCAGGCUGGGGAUUGGGGGAAGGUGGGAGGGAAAUUGGAGUUAUUGCUGGUGGGAAAUGUACACUUGUGGAGGGAUAGAUGUUGGGACAUUAUAUGACCGAAACCUGACCGUGAGCAGCUUUGUAACUAUGUAUCUCAUGGUGACUCCAAAAAAAGUGAAUUUUGAUUAAUUAAUUAAUUAACUGUCAGAGGAACCCAGGCAUGCAGGUCCCGGGCUGAGGUCUCUAAGCCUACUCAGAUUAGGAAUAGGCCUUCUCCACCCAGACCCCCCUCAUCUUCCAGUAGGUAGGCAUCACACCCACCAGCUGCCAACAGAGCCAGGUUGGUCUCAUCAAUGGCCAAGAUGCAGAGACUAUAAAACCCAGCUCCCGGAAGCACGCGGCCGCAUUGCAUUUGCGGCCAUGCGACAUCUUAUUUUUUUCCUUUGGAGAACCUGGCAGGCACCAAAAGUAUCCUGCCCACACAGCAGAGUCUGGAAAACUUUCGUGUCGUACUCAAUAUGCCAAAUACCAGUAAUAAUGAUGGGUCUCAUUCUCCUAAUCCUGAAAAAGCAUUGAAAUGGCUCUUUUAAAAUCUCAGGGCUAAGAAGAAGGAGACAUUACUGGUGCCUGCUUGAGGAAAUCAACGAACAACAGGAUGAUUGUGAUCGUGAUCAUGAUUGUGAAUUAAUUAAUUAAGGAGUUGUCCUUGUCAACAAAUUGCCCUCUUCCUUUCUCUUAUCUGUCACUGUCCCCAACCUCCAUAUGAUCUUGCAUUGGACAGGAUGCAACCCUAUUCUGCAAGUAAAAACAAAGUUUUACAAAUACAAUCUCUCUCAUAGUCACAUGGAGAAGGCUUGGCUUCCUUUAAGCCACUGUGACAGUCUGGCUGUAUCUGCCACAGUGUGGUAACGCAGCUCAAUACAGCCCAGUCGCCUCUGCUGGCUAGACAGGACUGCUGUUGGUGGAGCAACUUCAGAUAAAGCCGAAGAAAUGGCUCCUCUAAGUACGACAUGAUCAAGUGUUGCCGUGGUCACCUGCUUUCCCUCCUGAGAAUGUGGUCAUGGGCAUGCCCUUUGUGACAUAGCAAAGCACUGCCUGUUUCUAAGACAGUAUCAGACAGAACUGUCUACUUCUAGCUGCAGCAUCCCAGAGCCUCUGGAAACUCUGCUGUUCAGAGUAAGUAGAAUUCGGACCGUUCAAAGAAGCAAACCUAGGUGUGUUUGUAAACAUGGCUGGGACACAGAAGAAAAUACAUGAAAUACUGUUACCAUUCCCAACAUGUCACACCCAGAACCAGUACCGAGGUUGAGGUUCUGACUUUGGAUGGUCACAGUCCCACCCAAGCCGUAGCUCCCCUGAGCAGGCUUGGUGCUGUCCUACAGUCCCUGAACUUCACUGGACAUGGUCCCAGAGACCCCUCAAGCACAGCCCGGGUGGCCCCGCUCAUCUCUUGCACCCCAUGGCCGAGCAGGCUACAUCCUCUUGGCAGUCUCGGGGAAACUGCUAGCAGAAAGCUCCACUGUUGCUUCAAGACCUAGAAAUUAAGUCUGCACUGGUCACGAAUCACGAAUCACAACCAUCCUGUUAUUUGUCAACUGCCUCGAGCAGGCCCCAGUAACGUCUUCUUCAUCCUAGCCCUGAGAUUUUUAAGAAAGUGCCAUAUUCAAGGCUGUUUAGGAGAAUGAGACCAAUCAUUGUUACUGGUAUUUGGCAUAUUGGGUACGCCAUGGGGAGUUUGCCAGACUCUGCCGUGUGGGCAGGCUACACUCGGUAGCCUGCCAGUUUGUCCAAAGUAGGAAUGAGAUAAUAAGAUGUCACGCUUCCGGGAGCUGGGUUUUAUAGUCUCUGAGUCUUGGCCAUUGGUGGGAUUACACAGCACCAGGGGGCCAGUUGGUGGGUGUGACCCCUGCCUACUGGAAGAUGAAGGAUCUGGGUGGAGGAUGCUCAGCCCCGAUCCAAGCAGGCUUGGAGAUCUCAGCCCCGGGACCUGUGUGCCUUUGUUCCUCUGCUGGUACCUUCAUGUGUCUCCUGCCCCCACGCCUGGCUGUCCUCACUGGGGCCCCUUGGAGAGGAGCGGGUUGAGUUUUCCUCCCCACCCCGACCAGUGCUCUGGCAGCCAAAGACCUCCAGAACCAGUCACCACCAUGCUGAGACCACUGCACUGGUCAGGGAUAAACAAAAGUCAAGUGUAUAGCACGCUCCUUUCUGGAAGUUAAUGCAGCCACGCACAGUGGAAUUCGGCUGCUUUGGUAGCUCUUGAUAGAAUCAGGAAUCCUCAAGUGAUCUCAGAAAAAGCAACAUCGUGUUUGAAGGAUACAACAGUAGGUGGAGAUGACUUUCAGCUUCAGACACAGAGACUUGAGUCACACCCCUCAUCACAUACAACGUUUUCUUCCCUCUGCAGUGAUGCUCCAGGAUGUUGAUGGCAUCUUGCGGCAUCCAAACUAUAUCAAGUUCUCUCAACCUUUUCCUUUUCUAUUUAUUAUUUCUGGAGAAAGUAGAAGAGUAGUAGCAAACAGUCACUGCUAGCCUUCACCUCCCUCUGAAGAUAUUUUCUUGACCUCCCACACAAUCUACCGAUUCCUGCCACAUCUCCCGCACAAGCGGUCCUGUGAUCACCCCUCACAAGACCAUUUUUGAAGUGGGACUUUGUUUUGUUGUGCUGAUUGGCACUGACAACAAGCCUGGAAUUCCGUUCACCUCAGAAGAGAAUUUCGUGAUGCGAACUUUCCUGUACAGGCAUGCAACAGCAGCCCAUGCCCAUGCAGAGGUCUCCAAAACCCACAGUGGCGUCUGUCGCCAAGAGAACCUACCGCCUUCUCGUGUCUCAUGAUGCCAGACACCCAGACUCCCCGCUCACUUCUCCCAAACACUGACAGGAAUCAUCACUUACCAGCAAUUGGGAAAAUAAGGAUGAUUUAACUUAGUGCCCACACCUUAUUCUUCAGAGUUCUAAGACCCGUCCUCAAAACUCAUGUU